RNAcentral lists this long non-coding RNA (617 nucleotides) under Sorghum bicolor (sorghum). RNAcentral describes it as "long non-coding RNA (SBIC_LNC000581)". Lineage: Eukaryota; Viridiplantae; Streptophyta; Magnoliopsida; Poales; Poaceae. The record is from RNAcentral.
AUGAUAGCAAGGAGGAGAGGGACGCAGACGGUGCCAUGGGAGCACCUCUAGAGCCAUCGGCUUGGCUACCUUGUCGAAUCUAGGAGGGAGGAGGGCCCGAUGAUGACAGCGAGACAGAAAGGGAGAGGGGCAGCGCCAUAGGCGCACCUCCGGAGCCGCCGGCUUGGCUGCCUCACCAGAUCUGGACUAGAAGGGAACGCCAAAGGGAGGGAGGCCACAUAGAGGAGGAAGCUCGCCGGGGAGGGGGGCCGACGAUGAUGGUGAUGCGGGCCUGACGAGGACAGCGACGAUGUUGGGAUGGAGCUCGUGUUGCCUUUACUGUUGGAGAAGGAAGGUUUUGGAUCGAUGACCCAUCUUCUGGGAGAACCCAAAUCCUACUAUGGAUAGCUCGGCCGGUGGAGAAUGGCCUAAGAGAAAACUUUUUAUUAAACUUCUUUUUAACAGUAUUAGGAGAUGUUUAGUUGGGGGUGUUAAAAUUUAAUAGGUACGGUAGUAUUUUUGUCUUAUUUAGCAAUAAGUAUUCAAUUAUAGACUAAUUAGGCUUAAAAGAUUCGUCUUGUAAAAUCACUUUCUAGCUAUAUUUUUAAUUUCAUAUAUAAUUUAUAUUUAAUAUUUCA